GAUGAACGCUGGCGGCGUGCUUAACACAUGCAAGUCGAACGGAAAGGCCCAAGCUUGCUUGGGUACUCGAGUGGCGAACGGGUGAGUAACACGUGGGUGAUCUGCCCUGCACUUCGGGAUAAGCCUGGGAAACUGGGUCUAAUACCGGAUAGGACCACUUCUUGGAUGUUGUGGUGGAGAGUUUUUUCGGUGUGGGAUGAGCUCGCGGCCUAUCAGCUUGUUGGUGGGGUAAUGGCCUACCAAGGCGUCGACGGGUAGCCGGCCUGAGAGGGUGUACGGCCACAUUGGGACUGAGAUACGGCCCAGACUCCUACGGGAGGCAGCAGUGGGGAAUAUUGCACAAUGGGCGCAAGCCUGAUGCAGCGACGCCGCGUGGGGGAGGACGGCCUUCGGGUUGUAAACUCCUUUCGCUAGGGACGAAGCGUUUUGUGACGGUACCUGGAGAAGAAGCACCGGCUAACUACGUG
RNAcentral lists this ribosomal RNA (467 nucleotides) under uncultured bacterium. RNAcentral's name for it is "partial 16S ribosomal RNA". It matches the Rfam family "Bacterial small subunit ribosomal RNA", at positions 28 to 507 of the family's 1533-position model. The record is from RNAcentral.